This is a long non-coding RNA of Nematostella vectensis (starlet sea anemone), 3162 nucleotides long. RefSeq lists it as uncharacterized. Lineage: Eukaryota; Metazoa; Cnidaria; Anthozoa; Actiniaria; Edwardsiidae. The transcript is spliced from 2 exons. The record is from RefSeq and is a predicted model, not a curated record.
CCGGGCCUGCAUCGAGGGCUAGGAAGUAAAGUAAAUAUAAUUUUCGUGUAUGUCAAAUUUACAGGCUCAGUCGUACCUCUUUCUCGAGGUAGAUCCACAACAAGAAGAAGUUCGUCUGCGCGGACUCGACAGCAAGUUUAACUUCAUCUUUUAUUCCUCUCUUAACUUUUUUCAUUUUCAUAGUUUUAAACAUCAUUUGACUACAUCGACCUUACCGUCUCCAUGCGCAGGCUAUACCGGCUAACUUAUCAGUCGAUGUGUCUGCUUAAGAUUUCAUGAGCAAGGAUUGGAAAAGGUGCCAGUACAAUGUAAAGCCGUCCACUAGAAACAAAGGUAAAUAGUUCAGUGUCAUUGUGAUCAUUAUCAUUAGUGAUUUCCGAAGUCCUAUAUGCUGGCGCGAAAGGCUCGUAACGUGACAUAUCAAUAUUCGGGUGACCUUCAAACUCGCUCGGCCAAUCUCUUGGAGGCAUGGGUCUAAGGGCUUUUCAAGAUUUGUGAGAAAGAUUUGACCAAGCGAUAAAGUUUUUCUUGACAAAUUUUUGCCUCGCGGAUCAACAGGAAUCGAUCGACUUUCACCAUGUUUUCUGGAGAUCAGGGAGCGGGAAAUCUUCAGCUUUUCUAAAUAUGGGUAUCAAUACAAUACAUACGAAAGACACUAUCCGUGGGAAUAUGUUUGAUAUGCUGUUGGCGAUGGAUUAUUUUCGUAGAUGCAUAACAAUACGAACUUGUCAACACUCCUCAGUCAUCGCGUCACGUGUCAUCGCCUACGUCAAUCAUCCUGUUGUUUGAUUGACAGACCAACUCGACGCUAUCUCAGUAACCCCUCACAAGUCAACACAUAUCGCAACGUACCCAUGCCACUUCCGGUUCAUCUCCUUGUUCUCGACGAGAAAGAACCACAACUUUCCUAGGGCGCAUAAGAUGCGUAUAUUUAAAACGCUUUUUAAAGAUUUAAACUUGGUUUACAGAUGAAUUUUCGAGACGCUCAUUGCUACCUCAAUUGAAAGAAUUCAAUUCAAGGAAUUCAAAGGGUAUUUUGUCUCGUCUGUAAAAUUUGGAUCAUCGUUUUGAAGUCGUUGAGCCUCGUUUUCAUCGCCAAGGUCUAUCCCCUCGAGUGAAGUUUCAUUUGGUAUUUGUUAAGGGGGGUAAGCAUAAAGAAGUUGUUGACGGGUGCUACUCUUUGUGUCACUUAUUCAAUAGAAUGUCUAUUUAACCCUCUAAACCUCGUCACGAUCAAACCUUCUGAUCAAACCUUCACAGCGCAAACACUUCACAGAAAGGUGCGAGAAAUCUCAAGUAUUUCUUUCCCCUAUUGCCAUAUAGAUAGCUCGGUUCGUCUGCUUCUUAAGGAUAUUUUAAUUGUUGGGAAGAGAACGUCAAGAGAAGCAUAUUCAUGUUGUUUACUCAACCUGUACUGUACCCAAACAAGAAUUACAAGUUUGAUAAACAAUUAUUGGAAGCCAGUUUCACUCGGUCGGAUAGAUACCAAAGGUUGUUAAACGCAGAACUAAAGACGUUAAAAACGAGCCCAUAAAACUUUUGUGUGACUAAAAGAAGUUAGAAAGUUAAAUACUGGUCUCGAGGCGAAAAACAUGCUGCUUGGCAAAAGGAAGGUAUUGGCAAGUCUGUUUGCUCUGCUGGUGUUUGCUGAACUAGUCUCUCAGGUUCAAGGCUUCAUCGCAAUCCACCAUGGCCGGAUACGGUCCGUACACACGCGACACAAGGUUGUAAAUCUGGAAAGACUUUAUCGAAGACUGCCUCGUCCACCGAGAAUCCGAUAUGAUAUCAAUCGACGGCGGCGCUGGAGAAUCCCUCUGUACAGAAGAAGGAAUCAUCAGCAAAGAAAACGAGCAAGAGCUCUCAAGGCUCGUUUAAGACUGGAGUAGAGUUAGCCGCUGGCGAAAGAUACUUUAAAGGGCGUUUGCCUACAAACAAGAAGAGGCCGCCAAUCACGAUAAAAGUUUGGCUUUCACCAGUGGCCAUUCUCAUUAGCACAUUUAUAAGUAGAAAUAGUGAGGUCGGCUUACCCAGUUAAAGGCUGGAAACACUACGCUGAAAGGAAAUUAGAUUAUGUGGACGAGAAGAGGAAGGAAACUGUUCUGUAAGAGGCAAGGGCACAAAUCGAAUCUGAUCCGCGAAAUAACUGCUUCGCAGCCCGUUUUUUUCUGGUUGGGAAGUUGUUAGACCCCUCGGUUGCUGGGAAAAAAUCGUCACGAAUUGUUCUGCGGGCAAACUUGUGGAGUCGAACUCUAGUUGUGCUAGGAAUAUAUUGAGGGUCCCUGGAGCGGAUGCUUUGGGAAUAUCCUGCCUAUCGGUUAUACGGGCAAUUAUUCAUGUCAAAAUGCCUAACCAUUGCUGGCUGGGUAAAAAAUGCCUAACCAUUGCUGGCUGGGUAAAAAAUGCCUAACCAUUGCUGGCUGGGUAAAAAAUGCCUAACCAUUGCUGGCUGGGUAAAAAAUGCCUAACCAUUGCUGGCUGAGUAAAAAAUGCCUAACCAUUGCUGGCUGGGUAAAAAAUGCCUAACGACUGCUGGCUGGGUAAAAAAUGCCUAACCAUUGCUGGCUGGUAAAAAAUGGCUAACCAUUGCUGGCUGGGUAAAAAAUGCCUAACCAUUGCUGGCUGGGUAAAAAAUGCCUAACCAUUGCUGGCUGGGUAAAAAAUGCCUAACCAUUGCUGGCUGGGUAAAAAAUGCCUAACCAUUGCUGGCUGGGUAAAAAAUGCCUAACCAUUGCUGGCUGGGUAAAAAAUGCCUAACCAUUGCUGGCUGAGUAAAAAAUGCCUAACCAUUGCUGGCUGGGUAAAAAAUGCCUAACCAUUGCUGGCUGGGUAAAAAAUGCCUAACCAUUGCUGGCUGGGUAAAAAAUGCCUAACCAUUGCUGGCUGGGAAAAUAGGAGUGGUCCCUCCUGGGAACGAAACCAUGUGACGAAACCGAGCCCAAUCUAUUUGUUACUGUAAUAAAACAAAAAGCAAAAAAAAAAAAAAAUCGGUCAUCAUGCUUAGGUGCUGUGUAAAACGCAGUGGUACGAGAGUUGGAUUCUCUGAUAAGAAUCGCACGCAUUUCCGUAUGAGCAUCGUCAUCUUUUUAAAAUGAGCUUUGGCACAUGGAGCCCUUAUUCACAGUUUUGCAGUAAAAGUCAAAUAAUAAAAAAAUGUCUUAUAAA